CGAACGAUGAUGCCCAGCUUGCUGGGCGGAUUAGUGGCGAACGGGUGAGUAAUACGUGAGUAACCUGCCCCUGACUCUGGGAUAAGCCUGGGAAACCGGGUCUAAUACUGGAUACGACCUCUCACCGCAUGGUGGGGGGUGGAAAGGGUUUACUGGUUUUGGAUGGGCUCACGGCCUAUCAGCUUGUUGGUGGGGUAAUGGCUCACCAAGGCGACGACGGGUAGCCGGCCUGAGAGGGUGACCGGCCACACUGGGACUGAGACACGGCCCAGACUCCUACGGGAGGCAGCAGUGGGGAAUAUUGCACAAUGGGCGAAAGCCUGAUGCAGCGACGCCGCGUGAGGGAUGACGGCCUUCGGGUUGUAAACCUCUUUCAGUAGGGAAGAAGCGCAAGUGACGGUACCUGCAGAAGAAGCGCCGGCUAACUACGUGCCAGCAGCCGCGGUAAUACGUAGGGCGCAAGCGUUGUCCGGAAUUAUUGGGCGUAAAGAGCUCGUAGGCGGUUUGUCGCGUCCGCUGUGAAAGCCCGGGGCUCAACCCCGGGUCGGCAGUGGGUACGGGCAGACUAGAGUGCAGUAGGGGAGACUGGAAUUCCUGGUGUAGCGGUGAAAUGCGCAGAUAUCAGGAGGAACACCGAUGGCGAAGGCAGGUCUCUGGGCUGUUACUGACGCUGAGGAGCGAAAGCAUGGGGAGCGAACAGGAUUAGAUACCCUGGUAGUCCAUGCCGUAAACGUUGGGCACUAGGUGUGGGGGACAUUCCACGUCCUCCGCGCCGUAGCUAACGCAUUAAGUGCCCCGCCUGGGGAGUAC
RNAcentral lists this ribosomal RNA (810 nucleotides) under Kocuria sp. RNAcentral's name for it is "bacterial SSU rRNA". It matches the Rfam family "Bacterial small subunit ribosomal RNA", at positions 63 to 883 of the family's 1533-position model. The record is from RNAcentral. Lineage: Bacteria; Bacillati; Actinomycetota; Actinomycetes; Micrococcales; Micrococcaceae.